This 253-nucleotide ribosomal RNA is filed under the name uncultured bacterium. RNAcentral describes it as "partial 16S ribosomal RNA". It matches the Rfam family "Bacterial small subunit ribosomal RNA", at positions 524 to 776 of the family's 1533-position model. The record is from RNAcentral.
UACGUAGGGGGCUAGCGUUGCUCGGAAUCACUGGGCGUAAAGCGCACGUAGGCGGAUUGCUAAGUCAGGGGUGAAAUCCUGGAGCUCAACUCCAGAACUGCCCUUGAUACUGGCGGUCUCGAGUCCGGGAGAGGUGAGUGGAACUGCGAGUGUAGAGGUGAAAUUCGUAGAUAUUCGGAAGAACACCAGUGGCGAAGGCGGCUCACUGGCCCGGUACUGACGCUGAGAUACGAAAGCGUGGGGAGCAAACAGG